This is a long non-coding RNA of Centropristis striata (black sea bass), 499 nucleotides long. RefSeq lists it as uncharacterized. The transcript has 2 exons. Lineage: Eukaryota; Metazoa; Chordata; Actinopteri; Perciformes; Serranidae. The record is from RefSeq and is a predicted model, not a curated record.
AGAAGAGCCCCAGAGUGACGACAACACGACAGAAAAGAAGAAACCAAGCCAGAGAUACUUCCAGUGCAUUUACGUUCCUGGUAAAAAUGCACAGUACCCGCUGAGACCAGGCUUCACGCCAGCCAUGUCCCCCGCCAUGGUGUCCCCCUCCAUGAUGUCCCCCGCCAUCAAGUCCAUGCUGGAGCAGCAGCAGCAGCAGCAGCGAGCAGCGAGGACACCGGGACAAUAGACAACCUGAACUCUCACCUCAUUUCUGACAGCACUGCCUCUCCCGGUCCAGCAGGGGGAGACCUUUUAAAUCUGUGGGACCCUUAAACUCUGAGGACAAACCCACAGACAGAAAGAUAAGAGUGGACAGAAAUAUUUUGUCUUUAAUUUAUUUAUGUACUUAUUUUCUCUCUAUGUGGUCGAGCUCCUGGGGUUCCUGUUCAUAUUUACCUCUUUCAGCUUCAAUAGUCUCGCUGCCAUGUCCUGCUUCUGCUUUAGCAAUAAUAUAAUA